GCCUACCAUGGUUUUAACGGGUAACGGGGAAUUAGGGUUCGAUUCCGGAGAGGGAGCCUGAGAAACGGCUACCACAUCCAAGGAGGGCAGCAGGCGCGCAAAUUACCCAAUCCCGAUACGGGGAGGUAGUGACAAUAAAUAACAAUACAGGGCUCUUAUGGGUCUUGUAAUUGGAAUGAGUACAAUUUAAAUCUCUUAACGAGGAACAAUUGGAGGGCAAGUCUGGUGCCAGCAGCCGCGGUAAUUCCAGCUCCAAUAGCGUAUAUUAAAGUUGUUGCAGUUAAAAAGCUCGUAGUUGAAUUUCGGAAUUUUUUUAUCGGUUGAAUCAACAGGUUCGUACUGAUUUUAAGAAUUUCUACCUUCUGGAGAACCUUAAUGUCAUUAAUUUGGUGUUUUGGGAAACCAGGACUGUUACCUUGAAAAAAUUAGAGUGUUUAAAGCAGGCUUAUGUCUGAAUAUAUUAGCAUGGAAUAAUGAAAUAGGACGGCAUGGUUCUAUUUUGUUGGUUUCUAGGAUCACCGUAAUGAUUAAUAGGGAUAGUUGGGGGCAUUAGUAUUCAAUUGUCAGAGGUGAAAUUCUUGGAUUUAUUGAAGACUAACUUCUGCGAAAGCAUUUGCCAAGGAUGUUUUCAUUAAUCAAGAACGAAAGUUAGGGGAUCGAAGACGAUCAGAUACCGUCGUAGUCUUAACCAUAAACUAUGCCGACUAGGAAUCGGACGAAGUUAAUUUUUUAAUGACUCGUUCGGCGCCUUACG
This 754-nucleotide ribosomal RNA is filed under the name uncultured Pacispora. Its description in RNAcentral is "SSU rRNA". It matches the Rfam family "Eukaryotic small subunit ribosomal RNA", at positions 339 to 1092 of the family's 1831-position model. Lineage: Eukaryota; Fungi; Glomeromycota; Glomeromycetes; Diversisporales; Pacisporaceae. The record is from RNAcentral.